AAAAUGUGAGUCUUUACCAAAAUACUAUUGGGACUUUUGAUGGUGGGACCACAACUUUGCCCUUUUAAUUUGUAGAUAUGCAGCACAUUCCAAGAAGCUCAGGAGUGCUUCUCUGUCUCUUCCACUCUUAGGCAGUGUGGGGGUAUGCCCAUGUGUAUUAUGAUGACCCUUGUGCAUAUGGAGAAGAAGAAUCAGGCUUCCUCCCUGGGUGCAUGAAAAUGAAUGGCCAGGUAUCAAGGGCUUCCAUCAGGCACUAAUCUCUGACAUUAUGAAAAGAUAUCUGCAGCUAUAACAAAAAUCCUGUGUUGGUAAUGGAAAGCAGCCAUUUGUUUCCCAAGAAAAUUAAAAUGAUUUGGGGGAAACCCUAUACUUCCAUUUGAACAGUCAAGAAAGCCCUGCUGUGUAUUUUAUUUGUUUGUUGUUUGUAUAAGGUGAGAGAUCCUGUGCAAACAGAUUUUGUGCAGUGGAACAUACCCUUGGCUUUCUCCUUCUGAAGUCUUACUCCCUGAAAUCAGCUAUACAACAGAUAACGGGGGGCUGCAGAAAAAGAGUAAAUUGCUUCCUCCUUUUCCACUGACAGAAGUUAUUUUAUUGCCGGGAGGCAUUAACUAGAUGCAACCAUCCUUUAAGAACAACAACAACAAACAACCUUUAUUUACUUGUCAAUCACCCAAGGACUUGUCAGUUGAAGCAUGCCAUAUAAAUCAUCCAUGAACAUUAAAACAAACAUAAAUAAAUAGUUUUAUUU
Long non-coding RNA from Anolis sagrei ordinatus, 748 nucleotides. RefSeq lists it as uncharacterized. Lineage: Eukaryota; Metazoa; Chordata; Lepidosauria; Squamata; Anolidae. The record is from RefSeq and is a predicted model, not a curated record.